CCUACGGGUGGCAGCAGUGGGGAAUAUUGGACAAUGGGGGGAACCCUGAUCCAGCCAUGCCGCGUGUGUGAAGAAGGCCCUCGGGUUGUAAAGCACUUUCAGUGAGGAAGAACGCCUGGUGGUUAAUACCCAUCAGGAAAGACAUCACUCACAGAAGAAGCACCGGCUAACUCCGUGCCAGCAGCCGCGGUAAUACGGAGGGUGCGAGCGUUAAUCGGAAUUACUGGGCGUAAAGCGCGCGUAGGUGGCUUGAUAAGCCGGUUGUGAAAGCCCCGGGCUCAACCUGGGAACGGCAUCCGGAACUGUCAAGCUAGAGUGCAGGAGAGGAAGGUAGAAUUCCCGGUGUAGCGGUGAAAUGCGUAGAGCUCGGGAGGAAUACCAGUGGCGAAGGCGGCCUUCUGGACUGACACUGACACUGAGGUGCGAAAGCGUGGGUAGCAAACAGGAUUAGAUACCCGAGUAGUC
RNAcentral lists this ribosomal RNA (465 nucleotides) under Vreelandella stevensii. RNAcentral's name for it is "partial 16S ribosomal RNA". It matches the Rfam family "Bacterial small subunit ribosomal RNA", at positions 338 to 795 of the family's 1533-position model. The record is from RNAcentral. Lineage: Bacteria; Pseudomonadati; Pseudomonadota; Gammaproteobacteria; Oceanospirillales; Halomonadaceae.